CGGACGGGUGAGUAACGCGUGAGGAACCUGCCUCAGAGUGGGGGAUAACACACCGAAAGGUGUGCUAAUACCGCAUAACAUAUGGGAGGGGCAUCCCUUUCAUAUCAAAGAUUUAUUGCUCUGAGAUGGCCUCGCGUCCAAUUAGCUAGUUGGCGGGGUAACGGCCCACCAAGGCGACGAUUGGUAGCCGGACUGAGAGAUUGAACGGCCACAUUGGGACUGAGACACGGCCCAGACUCCUACGGGAGGCAGCAG
RNAcentral lists this ribosomal RNA (255 nucleotides) under uncultured bacterium. RNAcentral's name for it is "partial 16S ribosomal RNA". It matches the Rfam family "Bacterial small subunit ribosomal RNA", at positions 99 to 354 of the family's 1533-position model. The record is from RNAcentral.